Neltuma alba is the source of this 1100-nucleotide long non-coding RNA. RefSeq lists it as uncharacterized. NCBI's taxonomy places the organism in Eukaryota, Viridiplantae, Streptophyta, Magnoliopsida, Fabales, Fabaceae. The transcript has 3 exons. The record is from RefSeq and is a predicted model, not a curated record.
UUAUAUUGUUACUCAUGCAAUUGCUAUUAUAUUUCUUAAUAGCAUUAUGGUAUAUAGGAUAUUUUCAAAUUAACAGCGUAACAAAUCAUCAUUGAUUCCUCUAUUAACAAAAAUGGAUUCAUGUGUCAUAACUUUAUUCAAGAACUUAAUCAAUAUGUUGUGUGGGUAAAUUUCCUAUUGAAAGAUUUUGUGAAUAGAUCACUUUGAUGUUUGACCUUUUCUUUCUUCUCUGCUAGGAAAAAAAUAAAGGUUCUCUUAAUUGGAAGCAACGAUACGAUAUAAUUUUAGGAACAGCAAGAGGUUUGGUUUAUUUACAUGAAGAAUUUCAUGUUCGUAUCAUACAUAGAGACAUAAAGACUAACAACAUCCUCUUGGAUGAUGAUUUACAACCUAAAAUUGCUGAUUUUGGCUUAGCAAGACUCUUACCUGAGGACAAGACUCAUCUUAACACAAGAUUUGCGGGAACAUUAGGAUAUACAGCUCCAGAAUAUGCAAUUCAUGGACAACUAUCAGAAAAGGUUGAUGUAUAUAGCUAUGGUGUUAUAAUUUUAGAAAUUAUUAGUGGUCAAAGAAACAAUGAAUUGAAUGCCAAUGGUGCUGCUGAAGGCGAAUUCCUCCUUCAAAAAGCUUGGAACUUAUACAAGAGAGGCAUACAUUUAGAACUGGUGGACGAGACCUUGGACGCUAAUGAUUAUGAUGCAGAAGAAGUGAAGAAAAUCAUAGAGAUUGGUUUACUUUGCACACAAGCAUCUGUAGAUAUAAGGCCAAAGAUGUCUGAAGUAGUUGCAUUGCUCCAACAAAAGGGUUUAUCAGAGGAUAUGAGACCCACUAUGCCUAUUUUGAUUGAAAUUGGUUAAAGGUGCAUGGAAACUAAGACACUUAGCUUUUAACCUCUGGUACCUUCUCUACAUAUGAAGGUGUGGCUUCAAGUUUUGAACUCAAAAAAGGAAGGGAAAAAAAAAAAAAAAAAAGAAGGAGAAGUCUCGAAAUGAUUGUCCUUAAUUCAUUCCAUUCUUGUGCGUAACUAUAUGUCAAACUUACAUAAGUGUAUGUGUAUUGAUAAUUGCAUUUAAAUUUUGAUAUGCAUACGUGUAUACUCA